This 691-nucleotide ribosomal RNA is filed under the name Alexandrium margalefii. RNAcentral's name for it is "partial Bacterial large subunit ribosomal RNA". It matches the Rfam family "Bacterial large subunit ribosomal RNA", at positions 2013 to 2702 of the family's 2925-position model. The record is from RNAcentral. Lineage: Eukaryota; Dinophyceae; Gonyaulacales; Pyrocystaceae.
CCGCUGUCUCCAACAUCGACUCAGCGAAAUUGAAUUGCCUGUCAAGAUGCAGGCUUCCCGCGGUUAGACGGAAAGACCCCGUGCACCUUUACUACAGCUUCGCACUGGCAUCAGGAUUGUGAUGUGCAGGAUAGGUGGUAGGCUUUGAAGCGGUGACGCCAGUCAUCGUGGAGCCUCCCUUGAGAUACCACCCUUUGCAUUCUUGAUGUCUAACCGCGGUCCGUUAUCCGGAUCCGGGACCCUGCGUGGCGGGUAGUUUGACUGGGGCGGUCGCCUCCUAAAGAGUAACGGAGGCGCGCGAUGGUUGGCUCAGGACGGUUGGAAACCGUCUGUUAGAGUGCAAUGGCAUAAGCCAGCCUGACUGCGAGACUGACAAGUCGAGCAGAGACGAAAGUCGGUCAUAGUGAUCCGGUGGUCCCUCGUGGAAGGGCCAUCGCUCAACGGAUAAAAGGUACGCCGGGGAUAACAGGCUGAUACUGCCCAAGAGUCCAUAUCGACGGCAGUGUUUGGCACCUCGAUGUCGGCUCAUCUCAUCCUGGGGCUGGAGCAGGUCCCAAGGGUACGGCUGUUCGCCGUUUAAAGAGGUACGUGAGCUGGGUUUAGAACGUCGUGAGACAGUUCGGUCCCUAUCUGCCGUGGGUGUAGGAUACUUGAGAGGAGUUGCCCCUAGUACGAGAGGACCGGGGUGAAC